UACACUGCCAUAGGGUUGCUGUGAGUUUCCCGGCCAAGUUCUAGAAGGUUGUUGUAUAUUUUUCGGGCUGUAUGGCCAUGUUCCAGAAGCAUUCUCUCCUGACGUUUCGCCCACAUCUAUGGCAGGCAUCCUCAGAAGUUCCAGAAGCAUUCUCUCCUGACGUUUCACCUACUUCUAUGGCAGGCAACCUCAGGGGCUGUGUGGUUUAUAUAUCUGGAAUGUCCAAGCCCCAAGAGUGUCCUGGUUAUGUGAAGAAUUCAUCCCAUUCAAUUGCACACAUGUCUGCAGAUGAUGCUGAACAGUUUUAAAAAGAGGUUGGAUAGGCAUAUUUUAGAAGUGCUGGAAUUAUGAAUUUUUGCAUGAAAGGAGUGCAUCUACACUGCAAAAUGAAUGCACUUUGAUAUCACUUUAACUUUUAAUAUGUAUAUUUAUAGAGUUUUUACAAUCAUUUUGUGUUUUAACUAUGUUGUAAUCCACCUCAGAUUUGAGAGGUGGGUAAGAAAUAAAGUUAUUAUUAUUAUUAUUAUCAUUACUAUUAUUAAUUGCCACCAGUUAAUGCUAUGGAAUCAUGAGGCAGUUAUCAUAACUCUUUCCUGCUCUGCCAAAGAGUUUGGGUGCCUUGCCAAACCACCAAUCACAGGCUUCCAUAGCAUUGAGCCAUGGUAGUUAAAAAUGGCAGUGUCGAGACAGCCAAGGUGGCCCUUGUAGCUUCAUCCAACUCUGAUUCUGUUAAUAGUUUGACUAAUUGAUUUGCUUGCAUGCGGAUUCACUUCUGUAAAGGCCUGUGGUCUUGAAUUCAACCAACAAGUGCAAUUUGGAAAGUUUUUCAUGUCAGAUUUGACCGUAAGCCAGUCAACAGGUGGAUGUUGAGAAAGCACCUUCUGAGAGAGACUUAUGUGCCUGGAUGGGGUUGGGGAAAACGUAUUUGACAUGCAACCAGUUAGAACGGUGGCUCCCAACCUUUGGGCCUCGAGGUGUUUUGGACUACAACUCCCAGAAAUCCCAGCCAGCUUACCAGCUGUUAGGAAGUGUGGGAACUGAAGUCCAAAACACCUGGAGGCCCAAAGGUUGGGAACCACAGAGUUAGAAGGAACUUUGCAGGCUUUGAGUUGGGUUGCUUGGCCCCUGUUCUGGGAGGAGCUUGGAAAUGCGUGGGGACUGCCUCUUUCAGAACCCCUCAGCCAGCCAUAGCUAUAUAGCUAGGAUUGGUAGUCCCCAAGCGCUAAAGCCAUGGUUCCUCAAAUCUGAGGAAAACUUCUUCAAUUCAGCAAGACAAACUUUUUAGUACAUGUAAGAAAACAGAAUCCUACCCUCUCCCUUGUUGCUGCUUUCCUUGUUCACUUUUCUGUAAAUUAAUUUAUUAUAGGCCUAGUCUCCGCUUGUCUGGCUUUUGUCAUUUUAUAUAGUUCUUAAACAAAGACCAGGGCCUCCCUUUUUCUGCACCAUGGUCUCUGAUUUCUCACUUCCUCCUUCUUUCCCACUCUCAUGAAUGGAAUAUAAAUAUCUGGCAAGGCUGGGGAGCAUCCAGAGACUUUGGUCCUAUCUAUACUGCCAUAUAAUGCAGUUUAAUUGCAUGUGGCAGUGUAAACUCUUAUAAUCCAAUUCAGUGCAGUUCAACUGCAUUAUAUGGCAGUGUAGACUCAUAUAAUCCAAUUCGAUGCAGUUAAUCUGCAUUGUGAAACUGCACUAUAUGGCAGUGUAGAUUUGGCCCUAGACAAAGCUUUUUGUGAUGUUUGCGGUGAACUCCCAAGCACUUUUAGAAGUCGAGGGGAUCAUACAUAUAUGGUCCAGCUGAGAAUAAAAGCUUAGGAAGGCUUGUGACAGCCACCUGAACAAUGUCCUGUUUGAAGACAUUGGAUUUUAGAGUGGGUUUGGCAUUAACCUCUGUCAAAUUUUGGGUUUUUAAAAAAGGAUUCACCACCUCCAAAGAAAAAGCAUGAGCUUUCUUAAAUCUGCAACUUCCUCUUCUAGAAAGAGAACUGGAGAGGGUGAAAUAUGAAGAUGUGAAACAGAUAACUGCUUUGCCUCCAAUAAAAGUCUUCCUUUUCCUAAAUUAGAAUGAUCAAGGAUGGGGAAGCUAUGCAGCAGGCCCCUUUAAAGCUGGCUCUAGUCUGCACAGUAGAGUUAAUGCAGUUUGACAGCACUUUAACUGCCAUGAAUUCAUAGGCGUUGUAGCUUGAUGAAGCACCAGCACUCCUUGGCAGAGAAAGCUAAAGACCUUGUAAAACUACAGUUCCCAUGAUUUCAUCACAUUGAAUUUUGGCAGUUAAAAUUGUAUCAAGCUGCAUUAACACUACAGUAUAGAUGUCCCCUUAGUGUUCUUUUUAAAUUGUAUUGCACUUGGAGUAUUGGAAGCAUAUUCUGAAAAUUAGGUAGGUUAAGUUUUCUGAAACAGGCUGCUCAAAUAUUCAAAAAAGCUUAACUAUAUGGAAAUAAUGAUGGACCCACCUGGUUAAAAACAAACAAAUCGAAACCUGCCUUUGAAUGAGAAUAAUGUUUUCUGAUAUUUAUUUUUUGGGUGUAUCCAGUGUUUGAAUUCUUUAUUGAAAUGGAUUAUUUACUCUCAGGGCUCUCCCAGACAGGCCCUAUAUCCCAGGAUCUGCUUUAAACUGAAUUAUAUGAGUCCACACUGCCAGGUAAUCUGGGAUAAAUAGAAAACCUGGGAUUAGAUCCUGGGAGAUAGGGCUUAUCUGGAAGGGGCCUCAGAACGGAUGGACCUUCCUCCUCUAGAAGUCUUGAGAUCAAAUGGGCAUCUCUUAGAAGUGCUUUGAUUAUAUUCCUGCAUGGCAGCGGGUUGAACAAGGGGACUCUUACAGGGUUUUCCAACUCUGUGAUUUUGUUAAUGGUUUGGCUCCUUGAUUUGCUUGCACGUGUUCUCAUUUCUAUAAAGGCCUGUAGUCUUGGAUUCAGCUGACAUGUUUUCUACAUCAGAUUUGACUGCCAUUUUUUUGGCUGAAUCUCUCUUUCUUGUUGGGAUUUCUAGGAAUCAAUGAAACCAAGCGCUAGUGCCCUAGAGAUAUCUGCGAGUUUAAACCAGUUGCCUUAUUUGGGAGUACAAAUCCUAGAAUGUCCCAGCUAGGAAUGGCUAAUGGAUUCUAGGAUGAAUACUAUUACUACUACAACAACUACAACUAGUACUAUAACAAAACAAAAAACUCCAACCUUUUCCAAGCUGUUCCAUCAAGAUAUAAAUAAAAUAUAUACUCGAGGAUUGUGUUGCAAAUGAGCAUUGCUCCAGGAAGACAAGCUUUGGCCACAUGAUACAAAAGUUUUCAACAACUCCAAAGGUUCAAUAAACUAUUAUUGACAAGAUGACUGGGAAAGUGGGGAAACUGGCUUUUUUUGGGGACCCCAAUCACAUUGAUCCUUCACUCUCUGCUAAUACCAUAUAAGAUUUUCAAAUAAUGUCCAUGAAUCAAUCAAUACAAAGGGAAAUUAUAAAAGUGUUUAGAGAGAAGAUAUGUGUCAGGACCCAGGCUGCAGAGCACCAAUAACCAUACACAGAGGCCAGAAUCUAUUUAAUAUCUUUAUUGUGGGAAUAUAUAAAGUUAAUAAAAACAAGUGUAGAAAAUAGUCCAGAAGUAGACCUUCCAGGAAAGGUCAAAAUUAGUCCAAAGAAACAAUGUCCAAUAUGAAAUAUUAAGGUGCAAAGUUGUAAUCCAGUAACCGAAACACUCACUUUGCCAAGCAAAGUGAGGGGAGAUGACAAGGUCCUAUAGUCCAUGAAACUUAAGCAAGGCUAGGAAGUAAACUUGAUUCUUGGAACACUAGGCUUAAUUCAAGGCAACAAGAAACGAGGAGCAAGAACAGGAUCCGUGGUAAAUUCGUGGCGAGGUCCGGAAAGCAAGGCAAGGUCCGUGGAGCAAGGCAAGGUCCUGGGAAGCAAGGCAAGGCUAGAAACGGGAGCAAAGGGCUUGAACGCGGGAGUAGCGUAGUCCACACACAACCUACUCCCGAAGCUGACGAAUUGACUCCACAAGAUUCCUACGUGGGCAAAACACCUAAAUAGGGUCUCGUUUUCCCGCCAAAGAACAAUUCUCUGGGGAACCAGAACCGAAAGCCAUCCUCUGUGUCCAGAUGCAUGACUCCCUAAAGUUUCCCAUGGGAAGCAGGCUUAAUCAGCUGAAUGCCUGGCAGCAAUCCUAGCGCUCCUGCGAGACGCCUCCUGAGCGCCUUUCUGUUGUUUAUAAUAAUCACGGCGAGAAAAUGGGGGAGAUUUCGGCUCAGGGCUUGUUUGGCAGACUUCUGGAAGGCAAAUCUCCUGCAGGUGCAAGGGCUCCAAUUCUGGCUGAAACGGUGGGAAACCUAAGUUUUCCUCUUCAUCUGUCACAACAGUGCUGGGGACGGGACUACAUGGCCCAUGAGUCAUCACAAUAUGUGUGCUUGUUUAUAUAAGUUGGCAGCAUGUUAUAAAUAUGGAUAAACUAAAUUGAGUAUGUG
This is a long non-coding RNA of Anolis carolinensis (green anole), 4440 nucleotides long. RefSeq lists it as uncharacterized. NCBI's taxonomy places the organism in Eukaryota, Metazoa, Chordata, Lepidosauria, Squamata, Anolidae. The record is from RefSeq and is a predicted model, not a curated record. The transcript is spliced from 2 exons.